UGACGCUGCGGACUUAAAAUCCGUUGGCUUUAUUGACCGUGAGGGUUCAAGUCCCUCUACCCCCA
This 65-nucleotide transfer RNA is filed under the name Andoa berthelotiana. Its description in RNAcentral is "partial tRNA-Leu". It matches the Rfam family "tRNA", at positions 19 to 71 of the family's 71-position model. Rfam says of the family: Transfer RNA (tRNA) molecules are approximately 80 nucleotides in length. Their secondary structure includes four short double-helical elements and three loops (D, anti-codon, and T loops). Further hydrogen bonds mediate the characteristic L-shaped molecular structure. tRNAs have two regions of fundamental functional importance: the anti-codon, which is responsible for specific mRNA codon recognition, and the 3' end, to which the tRNAs corresponding amino acid is attached (by aminoacyl-tRNA synthetases). tRNAs cope with the degeneracy of the genetic code in two manners: having more than one tRNA (with a specific anti-codon) for a particular amino acid; and 'wobble' base-pairing, i.e. permitting non-standard base-pairing at the 3rd anti-codon position. Lineage: Eukaryota; Viridiplantae; Streptophyta; Bryopsida; Hypnales; Myuriaceae. The record is from RNAcentral.